This 497-nucleotide ribosomal RNA is filed under the name uncultured bacterium. RNAcentral describes it as "partial 16S ribosomal RNA". It matches the Rfam family "Bacterial small subunit ribosomal RNA", at positions 28 to 507 of the family's 1533-position model. The record is from RNAcentral.
GACGAACGCUGGCGGCGUGCCUAAUACAUGCAAGUUGAGCGCUGAAGGUUGGUACUUGUACCAACUGGAUGAGCAGCGAACGGGUGAGUAACGCGUGGGGAAUCUGCCUUUGAGCGGGGGACAACAUCUGGAAACGAAUGCUAAUACCGCAUAAAAACUUUAAACACAAGUUUUAAGUUUGAAAGAUGCAAUUGCAUCACUCAAAGAUGAUCCCGCGUUGUAUUAGCUAGUUGGUGAGGUAAAGGCUCACCAAGGCGAUGAUACAUAGCCGACCUGAGAGGGUGAUCGGCCACAUUUGGACUGAGACACGGGCCAAACUCCUACGGGAAGCAGCAGUAGGGAAACUUCGGCAAUGGACGAAAGGCUGACCGAGCAACGCCGCGUGAGUGAAGAAGGGUUUCGGAUCGGAAAACUCUGUUGGUAGGGAAGAACGUUGGUGAGAGUGGAAAGCUCAUCAAGUGACGGUAACUACCCAGAAAGGGACGGCUAACUACGUG